CGUUUUCAUAAUUGGAGAGACUUCCAGAUAUUUUCUGCUUUUUCUCUCUCAUUUUUGGUAAGCUUCUUCUUCCUUCUCUGUGCUCUUUAAGCUUUUGCAUCUACGGCUACCAUGUUAUCAAACGUACUAAAUUUGUUGGAAGAUUACCUUCAAUUCUUGAAGGACUGUCUGAUAUCAGCCAGUUGUUCAUACCAUCGAGUCUUGUAUUCUUACUAAGCUACAAGUGCAGAGUUGUCAGCGGCAGUUGAAAUUGUUCUUGUAUGUGCGGUAUUGGCUACUACUCAAGCUCAGCUGAAAGGUUUACUCAACUUAAUUACUAUCAAGCUUGAUGAUGGAAAUUUGAUGAAGUGGAGUUUUCAAGUUCGGUCAAUGAGUCAAUUCCUUUGGUAAGUGGAGUUUUCUGAGCUGGAUUAGGAGUUUGGUAAGAAGUGGGGACCGUUGAGGUGGUUUGAAAUUUGAUGAGGAUUGAGGAAUUGGGACAGGAUGAGGAGAGGAAAAUGAGUGAGCAUAUUUUUCAUUGAAAAAAGUAGGGGUCCAAGAAUGAGUUGUAUGAGUUCCUUCCAUCUUUACCUGUAUAGAAGUUGUUUAAUUUGUUAUAAAAUUCUUUAGAAAUCUCGGAGCUUUCAACAUUUUGUGCAUUUGUACAUGCUUAGUGCUUUGAUCAUUUUAUCACCAUUGUUAUGACGGUAAUCUAUGCUCUAAUAUAAUUCGGAUUCGAGAUUCAUAGCUGACAAAGAUCAUUCAGGAGAUGACUGUCUUGGGUUCACAGGUACAACAUCAAGUCCCAUACCAGAUCUCUUUCAAGAAAUGACUGACCUCGCAUAUUGAAACAAAGCAAAAGCAACAUGAACUUCAGUUAUCAGGCUUGGAGCACUUGACAGUCUGUAGAAAUGUAGUGAAGAUCAGGAAUUCUAGACACGAACAUGAAUAAUGGAUGUAUCAAAAGCAAAAGUUAAAACAUAUGGUUUUAAUAAAUAAAGUACAGAUGACCAUAUUAACCAGUUACACCUGUAGUUUCUACUAUUGUAUGAAAGGAUAAAGAGUUGUGAUAAAUAAUA
Rosa chinensis is the source of this 1058-nucleotide long non-coding RNA. RefSeq lists it as uncharacterized. Lineage: Eukaryota; Viridiplantae; Streptophyta; Magnoliopsida; Rosales; Rosaceae. The transcript is spliced from 3 exons. The record is from RefSeq and is a predicted model, not a curated record.